Molecule: ribosomal RNA, 497 nt
Filed under: uncultured bacterium
Lineage: Bacteria
Description: partial 16S ribosomal RNA
Rfam family: Bacterial small subunit ribosomal RNA
Source: RNAcentral
GAUGAACGCUGGCGGCGUGCCUAAUACAUGCAAGUCGAGCGAACAGACGAGGAGCUUGCUCCUCUGACGUUAGCGGCGGACGGGUGAGUAACACGUGGAUAACCUACCUAUCAGACUGGGAUAACUUCGGGAAACCGGAGCUAAUACCGGAUAAUAUAUUGAACCGCAUGGUUCAAUAGUGAAAGACGGUUUUGCUGUCACUUAUAGAUGGAUCCGCGCCGCAUUAGCUAGUUGGUAAGGUAACGGCUUACCAAGGCGACGAUGCGUAGCCGACCUGAGAGGGUGAUCGGCCACACUGGAACUGAGACACGGUCCAGACUCCUACGGGAGGCAGCAGUAGGGAAUCUUCCGCAAUGGGCGAAAGCCUGACGGAGCAACGCCGCGUGAGUGAUGAAGGUCUUCGGAUCGUAAAACGCUGUUAUUAGGGAAGAACAAAUGUGUAAGUAACUAUGCACGUCUUGACGGUACCUAAUCAGAAAGCCACGGCUAACUACGUG